GAUGAACGCUGGCGGCGUGCCUAAUACAUGCAAGUCGAGCGAAUGGAUCAAGAGCUUGCUCUUAUGAAGUUAGCGGCGGACGGGUGAGUAACACGUGGGUAACCUGCCCAUAAGACUGGGAUAACUCCGGGAAACCGGGGCUAAUACCGGAUAACAUUUUGAACCGCAUGGUUCAAAAUUGAAAGGCGGCUUCGGCUGUCACUUAUGGAUGGACCCGUGUCGCAUUAGCUAGUUGGUGAGGUAACGGCUCACCAGGGCAACGAUGCGUAGCCGACCUGAGAGGGUGAUCGGCCACACUGGGACUGAGACACGGCCCAGACUCCUACGGGAGGCAGCAGUAGGGAAUCUUCCGCAAUGGACGAAAGUCUGACGGAGCAACGCCGCGUGAGUGAUGAAGGCUUUCGGGUCGUAAAACUCUGUUGUUAGGGAAGAACAAGUGCUAGUUGAAUAAGCUGGCACCUUGACGGUACCUAACCAGAAAGCCACGGCUAACUACGUGCCAGCCGCCGCGGUAA
This 515-nucleotide ribosomal RNA is filed under the name uncultured bacterium. Its description in RNAcentral is "partial 16S ribosomal RNA". It matches the Rfam family "Bacterial small subunit ribosomal RNA", at positions 28 to 523 of the family's 1533-position model. The record is from RNAcentral.